RNAcentral lists this small RNA (145 nucleotides) under Phytobacter diazotrophicus. RNAcentral also lists the same sequence under 2 other names. The record is from RNAcentral. Lineage: Bacteria; Pseudomonadati; Pseudomonadota; Gammaproteobacteria; Enterobacterales; Enterobacteriaceae.
AGCCAAAAAAAGACCGAAUACGAUUCCUGUAUUCGGUCCAGGGAAAUGGCUCUUGGGAGAGAGCCGUGCGCUAAAAGUUGGCAUUAAUGCAGGCUAAGUCGCCAUGCACUUUAAGAAUAGAUGACGACGCCAGGUUUUCCAGUUU